This 468-nucleotide ribosomal RNA is filed under the name uncultured bacterium. Its description in RNAcentral is "partial 16S ribosomal RNA". It matches the Rfam family "Bacterial small subunit ribosomal RNA", at positions 28 to 507 of the family's 1533-position model. The record is from RNAcentral.
GACGAACGCUGGCGGCGUGCUUAACACAUGCAAGUCGAACGGAAAGGCCCUGCUUUUGUGGGGUGCUCGAGUGGCGAACGGGUGAGUAACACGUGAGUAACCUGCCCUUGACUUUGGGAUAACUUCAGGAAACUGGGGCUAAUACCGGAUAGGAGCUCUUGCUGCAUGGUGGGGGUUGGAAAGUUUCGGCGGUUGGGGAUGGACUCGCGGCUUAUCAGCUUGUUUGUGGGGUAGUGGCUUACCAAGGCUUUGACGGGUAGCCGGCCUGAGAGGGUGACCGGCCACAUUGGGACUGAGAGACGGCCCAGACUCCUACGGGAGGCAGCAGUGGGGAAUAUUGCACAAUGGGCGGAAGCCUGAUGCAGCAACGCCGCGUGCGGGAUGACGGCCUUCGGGUUGUAAACCGCUUUCGCCUGUGACGAAGCGUGAGUGACGGUAAUGGGUAAAGAAGCACCGGCUAACUACGUG